Molecule: long non-coding RNA, 596 nt
Organism: Arabidopsis thaliana (thale cress)
Lineage: Eukaryota; Viridiplantae; Streptophyta; Magnoliopsida; Brassicales; Brassicaceae
Product: other RNA
Exons: 1
Source: RefSeq
GAGGCCCAACUAAUAAACUUCAGCACUAAAUCGUAAGAGAAUCUCCAUACAAAGUAAUAAAUCUUCUACGUACAGUUUGUGAUAUAAAACAGAUAUCAAUUGGUUUAGAUUUAACCAGAAGAAUCAAAGAAGAUGAAGAAUGAAAAAAACAAGAAUCAACUUUAGGAGAGUGAGUAGAUAUCGGAGAUGGCUUUGAGAAACCUAAUCCUCAACUCCAAAUGCAUAAUAUAAUCAGCAGUCUUUGAUAGAAGCAGAUCCGGUUGGUUCAAUCUUCGUCCACCCGGUAUAAGCACUCGAAGCUUCCUCAUCUUUAUAUGGAUCGACCUGGAUCCUGACCCACGACCCGUUUUCUUCUUUGUCUGCUUCCUCUCCUUUCUGUAGGAUCGUGACUCUUCCAUUGCCUUUUUGCUUAUGAAAACUGAGUUGUAUGAAUGUGAUGCAAAGGCGUGAUGGUGGUCCAUAUUUAUAUAGUUCCACGUCUUCUUAUCUAUAUAUUUUUGGGUUUUAUUUUUCAUUUUUUUCGUGCUUCUUUUCUUUUUAUUUUAAACUACACAAAAUAAGAGUUUUUUUUUUUAGUAUAUUUUGUUGUUGUUGUC